Molecule: ribosomal RNA, 253 nt
Filed under: uncultured bacterium
Lineage: Bacteria
Description: partial 16S ribosomal RNA
Rfam family: Bacterial small subunit ribosomal RNA
Source: RNAcentral
UACGAAGGGGGCUAGCGUUGUUCGGAAUUACUGGGCGUAAAGCGCGCGCAGGCGGCUAUCCAAGUCAGUGGUGAAAGCCCGGAGCUCAACUCCGGAACUGCCAUCGAAACUGUUUAGCUUGAGGACGAGAGAGGUGAGUGGAAUUCCCAGUGUAGAGGUGAAAUUCGUAGAUAUUGGGAAGAACACCGGUGGCGAAGGCGGCUCACUGGCUCGUAUCUGACGCUCAGGCGCGACAGCGUGGGGAUCAAACAGG